UUUGUCUUUGUAGGACAGUAGUUCAGGUGGCUGUUUGUGUAGAUGCUGUUUGUCUUUGUAGGACAGUAGUUCAGGUGGCUGUUUGUGUAGAUGCUGUUUGUCUUUGUAGGACAGUAGUUCAGGUGGCUGUUUGUCUUUGUAGGACAGUAGUUCAGGUGACUGUUUGUGUAGAUGCUGUUUGUCUCUGUAGGACAGUAGUUCAGGUGGCUGUUUGUGUAGAUGCUGUUUGUCUUUGUAGGACAGUAGUUCAGGUGGCUGUUUGUCUUUGUAGGACAGUAGUUCAGGUGGCUGUUUGUGUAGAUGCUGUUUGUCUUUGUAGGACAGUAGUUCAGGUGGCUGUUUGUGUAGAUGCUGUUUGUCUUUGUAGGACAGUAGUUCAGGUGGCUGUUUGUGUAGAUGCUGUUUGUCUUUGUAGGACAGUAGUUCAGGUGGCUGUUUGUCUUUGUAGGACAGUAGUUCAG
Long non-coding RNA from Oncorhynchus tshawytscha (Chinook salmon), 461 nucleotides. The record is from Ensembl. Lineage: Eukaryota; Metazoa; Chordata; Actinopteri; Salmoniformes; Salmonidae.